GGAGAGGUGUCCGAGUGGUCGAAGGUGCAGCACUGGAAAUGCUGUGUACGGGAUAACCGUACCGUGGGUUCGAAUCCCACCCUCUCCGCCAGGC
RNAcentral lists this transfer RNA (94 nucleotides) under Symbiobacterium thermophilum IAM 14863. RNAcentral's name for it is "tRNA-Ser". It matches the Rfam family "tRNA". Rfam says of the family: Transfer RNA (tRNA) molecules are approximately 80 nucleotides in length. The record is from RNAcentral. Lineage: Bacteria; Bacillati; Bacillota; Clostridia; Eubacteriales; Symbiobacteriaceae.